AAUCAACGCUGGCGGCGUGCCUCAGACAUGCAAGUCGAACGCGAAAGUUCCCUUCGGGGAGCAAGUAGAGUGGCGCACGGGUGAGUAACACGUAGGUAAUCUACCUUUGGAUGGGGAAUAACAACCGGAAACGGUUGCUAAUACCGCAUAAUGCAGCGGCACCUAAUGGUGACAGUUGUUAAAGCGGGGGAUCGAAAGACCUCGCGUCUGAAGAGGAGCCUGCGGCGGAUUAGCAGUUGGUAAGGUAACGGCUUACCAAGGCGAUGAUCCGUAGCCGGCCUGAGGAGGGCGGUCGGCCACACUGACACUGACAUACGGGUC
RNAcentral lists this ribosomal RNA (321 nucleotides) under uncultured bacterium. Its description in RNAcentral is "bacterial SSU rRNA". It matches the Rfam family "Bacterial small subunit ribosomal RNA", at positions 32 to 332 of the family's 1533-position model. The record is from RNAcentral.